UCUGGUUACAGGUAACCAACACUGCCAGAGUUAUUUCCAACAUCCUGGUAUUUAUGCGGUGCUGUCACUGAAGAAUCUUCCAGACGCCAUUUUCCCUCAGUUUCAGAAUAGCAACAGUAAGCUACCUCAGUGUUUGUACUUUAUAGACUUUCUGUAUGGAAAUACAGUUAUAAAUGUACUGUUAGUUAAAUGACUUAAGACGAAUUUUAAGUUUUGGCGGUUCAAUCGUGGUUGUUUGUGUAACGUUAGUUAGUUAGCCGAACUAAGCGGUACUUUCUUCACUUCUAUUCAAUACUGGCAGCUAUUAGAAUGUUAUUUUAAGUAAUUUAAUGUACGUGGGUGUGUUUAAAUGGCCACGUUUUGUGCACUCUCACAGACAUUAAGUAUAGUUGUAUGGCAUGGCCAUGUAACGUUACUUUGGACAUGGACAAGAAGUUUUUUUCUCCCGCAUGGUGCCUAAAACCAUAACAUUUACAUGUACACGGUAUUUCUGUCUCAGCAAAGGCUAUUUUGUGCGCUGUUACAAAUUAACAAAAUUACAAAUUAAUGAAAUGAACACUAAAAAGAAUAAAUUACAAAAAAUCGGCAGCUGGCAGCAGGAAGCGGCUGCCAUCGACAGCCGGAAGGGAGGAGGGACCUGCCACUCGGUAGCAGCCAAUCAGUAUCGACCAAUUUAGCAGCAACCAAUCAGAUGUAACUACGACAGACGCUAAACACUUCAGUAAUGGCGGCGAUUGUUCGAGCGGUAAGUUUGGAAAUUUGUGAUCGGAGUAAUGAAUAAUUGUUGCGUUGUAAGUUUGAAUUUUUAAAUUGUUAUCUUAGUGAACGACAAAGUGUAAAAGUGUUAAUUUGCCUACUUUAGUUUAAUUGUUCAAAUUAAUCUAAUUAGUGGUAGAAACGUAGUUUGUGGACCAUGUUACAUCAUAUAUAAUUGUUGCGCUUAGUAUGUUAGGGGGCUUCAAAUAUUGCGUUUACAAACUAUACACGUUCAACACUAACCAUAUCUUUUUGUAUGUUUAAUUUUUCAGGAGAAUGUCUGAUAUCCAUUAACAAAUUGAUUCUUUUUUCAUCUAACAAUAACAAUUGACCAAACAGUUCUUUUAAGAACUACUCUUCUUUCUCUGCCUUCUGUCUUCUUUCCCUUAUUUCUGUCUUCACCUUUUGUAUACCUGACUAUCGGUUAUGACAGGUGAGGCCAUUACAUUUCCAAAAUCUUACUAACAUAAGUUAAUUUGAACAGAACAUGCAAAAACUUAUCCAUGGGAAAAUGUUAUUCUACUUCUGAAAUAUAUUACCUUUUUAUAUUUGAAUGAUUUUGUGUUGCUGAGGUAUGUUAUUUUAUCUAAUACAAUGCAUGUGCAGGUGUACCACUUGCUUUUGGAAUAGAUUAUGUCUAUUCUGGGGCAGGCAGUUGUCCCUAUUGUACAGCUGAUGUGACGUCAAAUCCUGAACACUUUAAGGCAAAGCAUUUAAAGCAUGCCAUAUAUUUUGAGGAUAACAUUUUGUUCUCUGGCUUUAGGUAGGCAUAGGCAUUAGCUUUAAAAAAAUAAUGUUAUUGUCUAUACCUACAAAAAGGUUAAGUGGUUCAACAGUAAAUUCAUCUUUCUCUAUAUAAAAUAACCCCUUUUUUUUUUCUUAAGCUCAAUUGCAAUAAAGAUGAUUCCAGGAUCUUGGAAGCUUGUUAAAAACUUCUGCUGGCUUGACGGUGUAACAAAAUGGAGAACGAAGUCUGAGCCAUGCCAGGAUUUUUUCAAAAUGUACACACUGCAGCCCUGCAGACACUACAAUGAGGUUUACAAAAACUGCUUACCAGGCUAUGUUGGAAGAGGAAAACGAGGAGAGAUGCAAGGCUUUUACUCAGAAAACACCCAUCCAGGCUUUUGCAGUGAUGAUUGCAAGAUGCUGGAGGAGUAACUCAGUAUAACUCAGUUCUGAUCUGAAAGUCUCGUAAAUCCCUCAGGAUUGUUGUUAGUGAUUCUGAUUUUUGAUUAACAUUUUUGUCUACUUGCUUACUGGAUGUAUUUUAUACUGUUUACAUUGUAUAACACUGACUUUGACAACAUACCAAGCCUGUUACAAAUUUAACCGCUACUUUAUUUAGAGAUAUAGAUAGAUAAACAGCUAUGUCGUUGUUUCCUGAAAAUA
Onychostoma macrolepis is the source of this 2145-nucleotide long non-coding RNA. RefSeq lists it as uncharacterized. The transcript has 3 exons. Lineage: Eukaryota; Metazoa; Chordata; Actinopteri; Cypriniformes; Cyprinidae. The record is from RefSeq and is a predicted model, not a curated record.